Molecule: long non-coding RNA, 4118 nt
Organism: Nerophis lumbriciformis (worm pipefish)
Lineage: Eukaryota; Metazoa; Chordata; Actinopteri; Syngnathiformes; Syngnathidae
Source: RefSeq, a predicted model, not a curated record
GAGAAGGCACAAGGGCAGGGGUGGUAAUAGGGGUAUGGAUACAGGCAGGAGCAGGGCCAAGGGGUAGUUAUAGGGAAAGGAGCAGGGAAGUAAAAGGGUCAGGGUCAUGGUCAAGGGAAAAGGGUUGUUGUCAUAAGUGCAAGAGCAAGGAUGAGACGACAGUGGCCAGAAGAAAAAGUUUGUGUCAUUGAGAGCGGAAGAAACAGCGUUAUGGGAACCAAUAUUGCAGCAGGAAAAGGAACAUUGGCCGAGGAUUGGAGCAGGACGAACGGGAACAGGGGGACACGGUGGGUUAUGUUCACGGGUCAUCAGAAGGGAAGGUCAAUCCCAGAAAAAAGACACAAAAUGAAGCAAAAGUUAGUUUAAAAUCAGACAAUAUUUUUUUGUGUCAGCAGCGAGAGGUAUGACCCACAGCAACUCACUGAGAUCUUAGAUAAACAUUGACAAACAAUGAUAUAUUUCAAUGCAAAUUAGGACGUACAAUAUUUAUUAGUGCCUGAGUUGUCUGAGCGCAAAGGCCCUAACAACCUAAAACCUCUAAAAAAAUGACUGACCGAGGCAUUCACUCAAACAGAACGACGUCAAACAAUAACUGGGGGGUGUGGGGUUCAGCCUGACAUCCGUAGCAGGUGGACCAGAUGCGGCUCGGCUGACUUGGCAAAUUACUCAAGGAGAGCGGUUCUAACCGGUCCGGCCAGUCACGGCUGGCUUGGGGAAAAGAGAGCGGAGGCUUGCUUGUUUUGCAGGGCUGUAUUCAUUUAAGAGGAGGCAGCUAGUUUCCAUCUGCUGCAAUACUCGUCUGUCAUGUCACAUGUCUUUGUAUUCCUUCUGACAAAAAAACAACUGUGGAAUGGGUGUUGGGUGACAGGGCCCUCUUUAUGUUGAAAAAAAACCUCAGCGACGCUGACAGUUACAGCUGAGGAAUCAAUCCUUCACUUGUCAUGUUUGCUGUUCUAGUUAAUAGACGGCCAAGGUUAAAUAAUAUUUAAUGACUUGCUAAUUUUGAGCUAUUCAGGGUAGGUUUCUUUUAACAGAGGUAGCCAGGAUAUCAACAAACAUCCUGAAAUAAACUUUAAAUAUCAGUUCUAAAUUAACUUGAAUUUGAUUAUGUGAAAUAAUACGUAUUUGAUCCAAUAAUUCUGACACUGAUAGAAGCACUCUAAUCAGUCCAGUCUUGUUUGCAGAAACAAAGGAAUGGCUCAAGAAGAAGCACAUCAGAUCCUGUGGUGCCUUUGCCAGUCUCAUGACCUGCAUCUCAUAAAAAAAAGACUGAAGGAAGCAGGAUUUGCCAAGGAAGAGCCUCAAAACUGUGAAGAUUUGAAGAGUAAUCUGAAAGGAUGAGUGGACGAAAAACGCCUCAUGAGGACCUCUGUGUUUUUGUGUGUCCUCCCUUGUGUUGUGACCAGCUGCUGGCUCUCCGCCAAACCGGGGUCUGCAUGGAGAUGCGGAGGAAGAGACGGUGCUACGGAGCUAGCGUUAAGCGUGGGAAUAUAUGAGCUUCACGGAGCUCAAUGAGCACUAAUCGGACACGUCAGUCUCCCUGAACAGAUUCCCGUUCAUCCGCGCAGAUCGGACAUUGGCCGGAGGCUAGUGGGCAGUCCACGAAGGAGUCGACUCUCUUUUUAAUUUUCCUGAGGGAACUCUCCUGAAGGAAUCAAUGAAGUACUAUCUAUCUAUCUAUUUAUCUAUCUAUCUAAUUGCUUUGUUGGGUCUGUUCCGGUGUCUGGGCAUGCUGCCCUCCCCGCAACUCACCUCAGCAGAUGAUGGCGUGAAGCACAGCAGAGGCCACCAUGGUGUAUAUGGGUGUUGAGAUUGUGUUUUUGCUUUGUAUUGUUGUUCAUAAGGAUGGGAACUGAUAAGAUUUUUUUAAGUUCCAAAUCUACUUUCGAUUCUGCUUUACAAUUCGGUUCCUUAACGGUUCUCUUAUCGAUUCAUGAUUGGGCAAAAAAAGAGAGAAAAAACGGUGGUUUAUGUUAAUGUUGUUCAGUUUAGAGGUAACAUGACCUCACAAAGUCUACAGUGACAUCUUGACAGGCACAGGCGUAGCACAAAAAAAAUUCAUUUUUUGAAAAUAAAUAAGAAAUUAUUAUUUUUCUGUAGAAUUUAACAAAAUAAAUCAUGUGCAAAUAAAACAAUAAUGUAACAUUUAGUAACACGUGUCGUGACGUGAUAUUAACUUAUUAGAAGUCUUAUGAAAACCCUGAAUUGAAAAUCUCAGAAGAUGUAAGGUUUUAAAAACUGUAAACAAAGAUCUUGAAAAUAAUAACAAAUAAAGUCUUGACAUAUCUCACUUUGCAUGUAAUGAAUUAAUAUCACAUAUUAGUUUCACAUUUGAAGUUAAUUGCUGUGACUGAGAGAAAAGGUGGUGGAGGAAAACAUGCAACUUUUCUCUGGCGUCAAUUGAACAUUCACCUACCGAAAAUUAAGAUUGUCUACUGUAGCAAACAGAUGCAAGCUUUUCACCACAAACUUAGUCGCUGAUUGGUGACAUUAGUCUAGCGGCAGACGUGUACUGGUGCGAGUACUGCCCACUUCGGAGCUAGUCAGAAUCUGUUUCUCGUCAUGCUUGUGUAAAUGAGAAGGCAUUCAUUUCAAUUUUACAAAUAGCACUAAUAUGAUUGGUUGUGGUAUAUAGUACCCGUUGUAUUUUUUUGGUGUCAAAGCAUUACUGCUGCUUGGAUGAGAUAGGAGCAAUUGAAAAACGCAACUUUCAUUCAUAAUUAUUGCAUGCUGUGUGUUCAAAUCUUUCAGCAUAUUGCUCGUAUGUCCUCUUCUUUUAACUACUAAAAGUAGCACUGUUGCAAUAUUUUCUUGUAAAAUGUUAGUGUAUGUUCCGCCCGGGCAUCGCCAUUUUGCGAUCUCACGUCACUACGCACGUUAGGUCACUAUGCACGUUGCAUAAUGAGAUCAUACCCACCCGAAAUAAUCAUUAAAGGAACAAUGUGAGAAAAUGGCAAGCAAUUCCAAGGAAUUGAUACACCGGGAACCGGUUCUGAACAAGAACCGGUUUUCAAUUCCCAUCCCUAGUUGUUCGCCUGUGCAUGGUGGAAUCGUGUGCGCGCAAUAUAUAUCAUUUAUUGCUCUUUUUUUCUUUUUUCGUUGUGUUUUACUUUUGUAGCUGUAUGUAGAAAUGGUGCCGCUGAAGUGUCAGCUGGUUGCAUCAGCUUGGUGCUCUAUUAAUGUCUUAUAUGUACUUCAAUGUUUCCCUCUUGUUUUCUACUUGUUUUUUGGGGACGUUGCACUAGCAAACACAUCAUUUCAGAAGAUAAAGCCUAUCCUAUCCUUCGCCAUCAAGUACUGUCACGUGUUGCUUGGGGAUCAAAUACUUAUUUUACUCAAAUGCAAAUUCAUUUACAAACUAAUUGCAAUGUUUCUUUCUGUCUCAACCUACCCUAAACAUUACAGACUGUUUCUGUAAUGUCUCUAUAAAGUAAAAGUAAAGUCCCAAUAAUUGUCACACACACACACUGGGUAUGGUGAAAUGAUCCUCUGCAUUUGACCCAUCCCCAUGUUUAAACCCCUGAGAGGGGAGGGGAGCAGUGAGCAGCAGCAGGGGCCGCGCUCGGGAAUCAUUUGGUUAAUUGGUGAUUGGUGAUAGGAGGCGUGUGGGUCGGAUCACAGCUGACUCUUCUCACCCUGGACACAAACUAUUUUCCCUUCUCCCCUCAGGCAGGAGAUUACGGUCCAUCCAGACCCACACCUCCCGCCACCUGAACAGACACAUGAACAAUAACAAGAUCCGAUGGCUAAGUUACAGCUCAUUUUUAUUUAUUACCUAUCGGUAUUACCUAUUCUGUUUUAUGUGUUUUAUUUUGCACGAUUGUACCAAGAAAAAUUCCUAGAUUGUGAACCCGUUCUCAAACAAUGGCAAUAAAACUAUUCUGAUUCUGAUUUAACCCCCAAUUCCAACCAUUGAUGCGGAGUGCCAAGCAGGGAGGCAAUGGGUCCCAUUUUUUGUAGUCUUUGGUAUGACUCAGCCGGGGUUUGAACUCACAACCUCCCAGUCUCAGGGCGGACACUCGAACCAUUAGGCCACCGAGCUGUGUGGUAUGCGCAAAUUUUUUUUAUAAUACCUGCACCUACAUACUUUCUGCUGAAUAAAUACAAUAUAAUCAUUA